This 174-nucleotide small RNA is filed under the name Chelonoidis abingdonii (Abingdon island giant tortoise). RNAcentral describes it as "TUC338 (ENSCABG00000009160.1)". Lineage: Eukaryota; Metazoa; Chordata; Testudines; Testudinidae. The record is from RNAcentral.
GUGACAGCCCUGGAGAUUGAUGUCCUCCGUCUAUCCACAGAACAGGACAGCUGGAGCCAUGACAUUACAGAGUUCUUCCCAUCUUACCUUGCCAGUGCAUCUCAUGCCUAGAGGGACAUCCAUUAGGGGUGAUAGGUAAUUUAGACUCCAUGACCCAUUCAGUCCUUGGCCCCU